RNAcentral lists this transfer RNA (84 nucleotides) under Candidatus Sungiibacteriota bacterium. RNAcentral describes it as "tRNA-Leu". It matches the Rfam family "tRNA". Rfam says of the family: Transfer RNA (tRNA) molecules are approximately 80 nucleotides in length. Their secondary structure includes four short double-helical elements and three loops (D, anti-codon, and T loops). Lineage: Bacteria; Candidatus Sungiibacteriota. The record is from RNAcentral.
GGGCGAGUGGCGGAACUGGUUUACGCGCAGCACUCAAAAUGCUGUGGCCGCAAGGCCAUGUGGGUUCGACUCCCACCUCGCCCA